UGGGGAAUUUUGACAAUGGGCGAAAGCCUGAUCCAGCAAUGCCGCGUGUGUGAAGAAGGCCUUCGGGUUGUAAAGCACUUUUGUCCGGUAAAGAAAUCCUUGGCUCUAAUACGGUCGGGGGAUGACGGUACCGGAAGAAUAAGCACCGGCUAACUACGUGCCAGCAGCCGCGGUAAUACGUAGGGUGCAAGCGUUAAUCGGAAUUACUGGGCGUAAAGCGUGCGCAGGCGGUUUGCUAAGACCGGAUGUGAAAUCCCCGGGCUCAACCUGGGAACUGCAUUGGUGACUGGCAGGCUAGAGUAUGGCAGGAGGGGGGUAGAAUUCCACGUGUAGCAGUGAAAUGCGUAGAGAUGUGGAGGAAUACCGAUGGCGAAGGCAGCCCCCUGGG
Molecule: ribosomal RNA, 388 nt
Filed under: uncultured bacterium
Lineage: Bacteria
Description: partial 16S ribosomal RNA
Rfam family: Bacterial small subunit ribosomal RNA
Source: RNAcentral